AACUUUUGGCAACGGAUCUCUUGGCUCUCGCAUCGAUGAAGAACGCAGCGAAAUGCGAUAAGUAAUGUGAAUUGCAGAAUUCAGUGAAGCAUCGAAUCUUUGAACGCAUCUUGCGCUCCUUGGUAUUCCGAGGAGCAUGCCUGUUUGAGUGUCAUUCAACUUCUCAACCACAUUCGUUCAUUGAUUGUGGCUUGGAUGGUGGGGGUUUAUUUGCAGGCUUCUUCUGUGAAAACAGAAAGGUCGGCACCCCUGAAAUGUAUCAGAGGUAUCUGAGGCUAUUGCUAUAGGUGUGAUAAUUAUCUAUGCACUUGGUAUGCCGCAUGGAACUGCUUCCAACAGAGAUGAUCUUUUUGAUGAAUUUGACCUCAAAUCAGGUAGGAGUACCCGCUGAUCUUAAGCAUAUCAAUAAGCGGAGGCU
Molecule: unclassified non-coding RNA, 418 nt
Filed under: uncultured Inocybe
Lineage: Eukaryota; Fungi; Basidiomycota; Agaricomycetes; Agaricales; Cortinariaceae
Description: sequence contains ITS2
Rfam family: 5.8S ribosomal RNA (bases 1-154)
Source: RNAcentral